This is a long non-coding RNA of Mus caroli (Ryukyu mouse), 578 nucleotides long. RefSeq lists it as uncharacterized. The record is from RefSeq and is a predicted model, not a curated record. NCBI's taxonomy places the organism in Eukaryota, Metazoa, Chordata, Mammalia, Rodentia, Muridae.
CGCAGGGCUGCCUGGCCUCCCGGACUCCUGUUCCACAGUUCCGGAAUGAGCGCUGGCCGGGGCCUCCUGGAGCUGGGAGGAAGGCGUAGCUGGCGAUCUCUCUCUCUCUCUCUCUCUCUCUCUCUCUCUCUCUCUCCUCUUCCCUCCCCCCUUGGUGUUUCUUCCAGAUCAGCCUCCUUCUCAUUCCAUCUCUACGUGCCCAGAGCUUCAAAUACAGUCCUCCCAUCACAGUCAGAUUCCCACAAAACUUCAAUCAGCUGCUUCUCCUGGAAGAGAACCUGGAUGGGAGGAAGCUGGGAGGUGGGAAAGAAGAGGUGUGGAGCUAGCUGCAUCUGGCCUGGACUCCAGUUCUGCUGCCUAUUUGCUGUGUGGUCCCAUGCAAGGAUUUGACCUCUCUGAGCUCAGCCUCAUCUAAAGGUGUAAUCUCGCACUUCCGUAAGUGGCCACGGAUACGGAGGCCUGUUUUGUCUCCACUGUGCUGAUUGUUGCAGACUGACACACUCUCACUAAUGAUCUGAAGUAUAUCUCCUGCCUGACUUUCUUCUCUGGAUGUCCAAUCCUGUCUCUUGUCCCUUGUG